GCGGUGGUAGCUCAAUGGUAGAGUGCGAGCGUGCCAAGCUCGCGACAGGGGUUCGAUUCCCCUUCACCGCU
RNAcentral lists this transfer RNA (71 nucleotides) under Minicystis rosea. RNAcentral describes it as "tRNA-Gly". It matches the Rfam family "tRNA". From Rfam's summary of the family: Transfer RNA (tRNA) molecules are approximately 80 nucleotides in length. Lineage: Bacteria; Pseudomonadati; Myxococcota; Polyangiales; Polyangiaceae. The record is from RNAcentral. RNAcentral also lists the same sequence under 2 other names.